GGCAUUGUGGCAGAGUGGUCUAAUGCGCAAGACUAGAAUUUCUAUCUAUCUUGUUCCUUCGGGAGCGUCUGUUCGAAUCAGGCCAAUGUCG
Molecule: non-coding RNA, 91 nt
Organism: Neopestalotiopsis sp. 37M
Lineage: Eukaryota; Fungi; Ascomycota; Sordariomycetes; Amphisphaeriales; Sporocadaceae
Source: the annotation of a GenBank genome assembly